AACGAACGCUGGCGGCAUGCCUAACACAUGCAAGUCGAACGAAGCCUUCGGGCUUAGUGGCGCACGGGUGCGUAACGCGUGGGAAUCUGCCCCUUGCUUCGGAAUAACAGUUAGAAAUGACUGCUAAUACCGGAUGAAGUCUUCGGACCAAAGAUUUAUCGGCAAGGGAUGAGCCCGCGUAGGAUUAGGUAGUUGGUGGGGUAAAGGCCUACCAAGCCGACGAUCCUUAGCUGGUCUGAGAGGAUGAUCAGCCACACUGGGACUGAGACACGGCCCAGACUCCUACGGGAGGCAGCAGUGGGGAAUAUUGGACAAUGGACGCAAGUCUGAUCCAGCAAUGCCGCGUGAGUGAUGAAGGCCUUAGGGUUGUAAAGCUCUUUUACCAGGGAUGAUAAUGACGGUACCUGGAGAAUAAGCUCCGGCUAACUCCGUG
Molecule: ribosomal RNA, 433 nt
Filed under: uncultured bacterium
Lineage: Bacteria
Description: partial 16S ribosomal RNA
Rfam family: Bacterial small subunit ribosomal RNA
Source: RNAcentral